RNAcentral lists this ribosomal RNA (494 nucleotides) under uncultured bacterium. RNAcentral describes it as "partial 16S ribosomal RNA". It matches the Rfam family "Bacterial small subunit ribosomal RNA", at positions 28 to 507 of the family's 1533-position model. The record is from RNAcentral.
GACGAACGCUGGCGGCGUGCUUUAUGCAUGCAAGUCGAACGCGAAAGCCCCUUCGUUGGUGCGUAGAGUGGCGAACGGGUGAGUAACACGUGGGUAACCUGCCCCUCGCAGGGGGAUAACCGGGGGAAACCCCGGCUAAUACCCCGUACGCUUGCUACUUUGCAUGCUCCGGCUAGGAAAGGUAGCUUCGGCCACCCGACGCGGGAGUGGCCCCCGGGCCAUUAGCUUGUUGGUGGGGUAACGGCCCACCCAGGCGACGAUGGGUAGCUGGCCCGAGAGGGUGGGCAGCCACAGUGAGAGUGAGACGCGGCACAGACUCCUGCGGGAGGCAGGAGGCAGGUAUUUGGCGAAGGGGGAGAAAGCCUGAGGGAGAAGCGCCGCGUGGGAGGUGAAUGCCCUGGUGGCGUAAAGCCGUGUUGUGGGGAGAGAAGGGCGAAGGGUUAAUAGCCCAUAGAGUGACGGUAACCGACGAGGAAGCCCCGGCUAACUACGUG